RNAcentral lists this ribosomal RNA (253 nucleotides) under uncultured bacterium. RNAcentral's name for it is "partial 16S ribosomal RNA". It matches the Rfam family "Bacterial small subunit ribosomal RNA", at positions 524 to 776 of the family's 1533-position model. The record is from RNAcentral.
UACGUAGGGUGCAAGCGUUGUCCGGAAUUAUUGGGCGUAAAGAGCUCGUAGGCGGUUUGUCGCGUCUGCUGUGAAAACUCGGGGCUUAACCCCGGGCCUGCAGUGGGUACGGGCAGACUAGAGUGCGGUAGGGGAGACUGGAAUUCCUGGUGUAGCGGUGAAAUGCGCAGAUAUCAGGAGGAACACCGGUGGGGAAGGCGGGUCUCUGGGCCGUAACUGACGCUGAGGAGCGAAAGCGUGGGGAGCGAACAGG